This 253-nucleotide ribosomal RNA is filed under the name uncultured bacterium. Its description in RNAcentral is "partial 16S ribosomal RNA". It matches the Rfam family "Bacterial small subunit ribosomal RNA", at positions 524 to 776 of the family's 1533-position model. The record is from RNAcentral.
UACGAGGGGGGCGAGCGGUGUUCGGAAUUAUUGGGCGUAAAGGGUGCGUAGGCGGUUUGGUAAGUCUGAUGUGAAAUCUAUGGGCUCAACUCAUAGUCUGCAUCGGAAACUGCCGGGCUUGAGUGUGGGAGAGGUGAGUGGAAUUCCUGGUGUAGCGGUGAAAUGCGUAGAUAUCAGGAGGAACACCUGUGGCGAAAGCGGCUCACUGGACCAUAACUGACGCUGAUGCACGAAAGCUAGGGGAGCAAACAGG